RNAcentral lists this ribosomal RNA (378 nucleotides) under uncultured soil bacterium. RNAcentral's name for it is "bacterial SSU rRNA". It matches the Rfam family "Bacterial small subunit ribosomal RNA", at positions 26 to 396 of the family's 1533-position model. The record is from RNAcentral.
AGAUUGAACGCUGGCGGCAGGCCUAACACAUGCAAGUCGAGCGGCAGCACGGGUACUUGUACCUGGUGGCGAGCGGCGGACGGGUGAGUAAUGCCUAGGAAUCUGCCUGGUAGUGGGGGAUAACGCUCGGAAACGGACGCUAAUACCGCAUACGUCCUACGGGAGAAAGCAGGGGACCUUCGGGCCUUGCGCUAUCAGAUGAGCCUAGGUCGGAUUAGCUAGUUGGUGAGGUAAUGGCUCACCAAGGCGACGAUCCGUAACUGGUCUGAGAGGAUGAUCAGUCACACGUGGAACUGAAGACCACGGUCCAGACUCCGUACGGGAGCAGCAGGUAGGGAAUAGUUAGGACAAGUGGGACGAAAGCCCGUAGACUCCGAG